This 65-nucleotide transfer RNA is filed under the name Dipodomys ordii (Ord's kangaroo rat). It matches the Rfam family "tRNA". From Rfam's summary of the family: Transfer RNA (tRNA) molecules are approximately 80 nucleotides in length. Their secondary structure includes four short double-helical elements and three loops (D, anti-codon, and T loops). Further hydrogen bonds mediate the characteristic L-shaped molecular structure. tRNAs have two regions of fundamental functional importance: the anti-codon, which is responsible for specific mRNA codon recognition, and the 3' end, to which the tRNAs corresponding amino acid is attached (by aminoacyl-tRNA synthetases). tRNAs cope with the degeneracy of the genetic code in two manners: having more than one tRNA (with a specific anti-codon) for a particular amino acid; and 'wobble' base-pairing, i.e. permitting non-standard base-pairing at the 3rd anti-codon position. Lineage: Eukaryota; Metazoa; Chordata; Mammalia; Rodentia; Heteromyidae. The record is from Rfam by way of RNAcentral.
GGUGGCUCAGUAGUAGAGUGCUUGUCUGGCAUGCAUGAGGCCCUGGGUUCAAUUCCUCAGCACCA